RNAcentral lists this ribosomal RNA (452 nucleotides) under uncultured bacterium. RNAcentral's name for it is "bacterial SSU rRNA". It matches the Rfam family "Bacterial small subunit ribosomal RNA", at positions 335 to 779 of the family's 1533-position model. The record is from RNAcentral.
ACUCCUACGGGAGGCAGCAGUGGGGAAUAUUGCACAAUGGGGGAAACCCUGAUGCAGCCAUGCCGCGUGUGUGAAGAAGGCCUUCGGGUUGUAAAGCACUUUCAGUAGGGAGGAAGGUAGUGUAGUUAACACCUGCAUUAUUUGACGUUACCUACAGAAGAAGCACCGGCUAACUCCGUGCCAGCAGCCGCGGUAAUACGGAGGGUGCGAGCGUUAAUCGGAAUUACGUGGGCGUAAAGCGCAUGCAGGCGGCCUGUUAAGUCAGAUGUGAAAGCCCGGGGCUUAACCUCGGAAUUGCAUUUGAAACUGGCAGGCUAGAGUCUUGUAGAGGGGUUAGAAUUUCGAGGUGUAGCGGUGAAAUGCGUAGAGAUCUGAAGGAAUACCAGUGGCGAAGGCGGCCCCGUGGACAAAGACUGACGCUCAGAUGCGAAAGCGUGGGAGCAAACAGGAUU